GGCAGCGCACGGAGCGCGCCGGGCACCGACAGCCAGGAGGCUCGGUCGCCAAGAUCUAAGACACGGCAGUGCAGGUCCCAGUCCCUGCCCCUGUCGCAGGGGAGCCGCCCGAAUCCCUGGGAGACCAACCGGGAAAGUUAGCCAGGUUCCUCAGCAACCCGGCCACCCUCGCGCCCACCCCUCUUGUGUACGCACACGCAUCCACACCCCUUUCUGGGCUCCGUACUUGCCGUGGAAAUUCCUGGGGAGAACGGUCGCACUUUUCAGGACACCAAGACAAUUAAGAUCGUCAAAUUAAAAGGGGGGCAGCCAUCAAAGGAAAUGAGACAGACUUGGAUGGACUGGUAUGGAAGGAGGUCAUGAUAGACUGUCAAGUGAGAAGACAUGUAAGUCAAAGAACAGUAUGCAUAGCAUGAUGCAUUUCUAUCACAUGUGUGUACACACCUCUCCAUGGACAAAGGCCAGAGGUGAACUACACCAAGUUAUGUCUACACACUAAUUAUGUCUAGGCAAUUUAAAAAGCAGAUAUAGGUGUGUGUAUGUCCAAGGGGCACAGGAAGAAAGAGGAGACUUUGGCUCUGUGUAUGUGUGUGUGAAUCCAAGUGCAUGUAUGUGUCUGUACAAGUAUAUGUUAGGGUAUAUAAGAGUGCAUGUAUGUAUGU
This 662-nucleotide long non-coding RNA is filed under the name Mus caroli (Ryukyu mouse). Its description in RNAcentral is "lncRNA (MGP_CAROLIEiJ_G0005907.1)". The record is from RNAcentral. Lineage: Eukaryota; Metazoa; Chordata; Mammalia; Rodentia; Muridae.